UGCCUUAUGCUUCCCUUUCUCUACCUUG
This 28-nucleotide non-coding RNA is filed under the name Mus musculus (house mouse). The record is from RNAcentral. Lineage: Eukaryota; Metazoa; Chordata; Mammalia; Rodentia; Muridae.